Molecule: long non-coding RNA, 995 nt
Organism: Felis catus (domestic cat)
Lineage: Eukaryota; Metazoa; Chordata; Mammalia; Carnivora; Felidae
Exons: 2
Source: RefSeq, a predicted model, not a curated record
CGCCCCCUGGCAGCCCAGCAACAAGCGGCCACCGCCCCCGCCCCCGGGGCGGGCAGCUGCAUCAUCCACCCCGGAAUGAAGCGGCACAGCAUCUGCGACACGGAUGGAGAGAUGCUACAGGACCAGGUCUGGUCCGUACACUUCCACACAUCACUACCAGUAUUCCGGGGGAAGUUGGUGCCGAAUUAAGCUGAUUCGAAACGUGGGGCGGCCCGUGACGCACUGCGCCCGUGAAUGUGCCCAUUGUGCGGUGGAGACCCGGCAGGCGCUCCGCGCUCACAAGUCGGGUGGGCAGAACUUUUCACUGACCGUGAGUGGGUCACAUUCUAGAAUUUGCCAUGGACUAAGUAUGAACUUCCAGGGAGACAAUAAAAUACGAAGUUGUAAGGUACACGCUGUCCUUCACUUUUCUACGCAAUUCACACCAAUUUCCAUAAUCCCACUUUUCUGUACGUUCUGCGCCAGGCGAGUGGGCUCCGGACCCCGGGCGCGCGAGGGCGCGCCCGUCGCGUGGGAACGAGACGGAAGGAACCGUACAUUUCGAGUCCCCGGUUGCUGAGAAGCAUAAUCAUAUCACUCCUCUUUUCUUCCCCAUUUGCAGGUUUCGACUUGAAUCCGAAAGCGCCUCUUACCGCCCAUUCUUUGCAGGAGGGCAGAGGGGGCAGGGUCUCCUUUUGGACUGCUGCGCGCCCAUCUAGCUGUCCAGACUCAGAUGCAAGCGUGUCCACGUCUACAGCACAGAGCUGUGCACAUCAGGAGCCUGCGGAUGCGCGGGGCUGGUCGCACUUAACAGCGUGCAUACACAUGGGCGCAUGCACGCGCGCGCGCGCGCGCACACACACACACACACACACACACACACACACACACACUCACACCCCAAAUUACCUCCGGGAUGGAGAAAGCCGCUCCGGAUUGGCCGGCAGGGCCGUCACUCACACCCAGGGGGCAGGGAGACUUUGCAAGGCUGUUUCCUUUUUUUUUUUUUUUUCCUU